UACGUAGGGAGCAAGCGUUGUCCGGAAUCAUUGGGCGUAAAGCGCGCGUAGGCGGCCCUGUAAGUCCGUUGUGAAAGUCAAAGGCUCAACCUUUGAAAGCCGAUGGAUACUGCAGGGCUAGAGUCCGGAAGAGGCGAGUGGAAUUCCUGGUGUAGCGGUGGAAUGCGCAGAUAUCAGGAGGAACACCAAUAGCGAGGGCAGCUCGCUGGGACGGUACUGACGCUAAGGCGCGAAAGCGUGGGGAGCGAACAGG
RNAcentral lists this ribosomal RNA (253 nucleotides) under uncultured bacterium. RNAcentral describes it as "partial 16S ribosomal RNA". It matches the Rfam family "Bacterial small subunit ribosomal RNA", at positions 524 to 776 of the family's 1533-position model. The record is from RNAcentral.